This is an RNA transcript of Corvus hawaiiensis (hawaiian crow), 12848 nucleotides long. It is a transcript of the gene named DOT1 like histone lysine methyltransferase, with no coding region annotated. The transcript has 28 exons. The record is from RefSeq and is a predicted model, not a curated record. NCBI's taxonomy places the organism in Eukaryota, Metazoa, Chordata, Aves, Passeriformes, Corvidae.
GGCCCGGCCGCCGCACCCCGCCCCGGCCGGCCCCUCUAGCAUGGUGCGGGGCCGCCGCCGCCUCGUCCUCCAGCUGCCGACAUGGGCGAGAGGCUGGAGCUGCGGCUGAAGUCGCCCGUGGGAGCCGAGCCCGCCGUGUACCCCUGGCCGCUGCCCGUCUACGACAAACACCACGAUGCUGCUCAUGAAAUUAUUGAGACAAUUCGGUGGGUCUGUGAAGAAAUCCCAGAUCUCAAGCUUGCCAUGGAAAACUAUGUUUUAAUUGACUAUGAUACAAAAAGCUUUGAGAGCAUGCAGAGACUGUGUGACAAGUACAACCGAGCCAUCGACAGCAUCCACCAGUUGUGGAAGGGGACGACGCAGCCCAUGAAGCUGAACACACGUCCCUCCAACGGGCUCCUGAGGCACAUCCUGCAGCAGGUCUACAACCACUCGGUCACAGACCCUGAGAAACUCAACAACUACGAGCCCUUCUCCCCUGAGGUCUACGGAGAAACUUCCUUUGACUUGGUGGCCCAAAUGAUUGAUGAGAUUAAAAUGACAGAGGAUGAUUUGUUCGUUGACUUGGGCAGUGGUGUGGGGCAGGUGGUGCUUCAAGUGGCUGCGGCCACAAACUGCAAACAUCACUACGGAGUGGAGAAAGCUGAUAUUCCAGCCAAAUACGCCGAGACGAUGGACAGAGAGUUCAGAAAAUGGAUGAAAUGGUAUGGGAAGAAACAUGCAGAAUACACACUGGAAAGAGGUGACUUCCUCUCAGAAGAAUGGAGGGAGAGGAUUGCAAACACAAGUGUUAUUUUUGUGAAUAACUUUGCCUUCGGGCCUGAGGUGGAUCACCAGCUGAAGGAGCGCUUUGCGAACAUGAAGGAAGGUGGGAGAAUUGUGUCCUCAAAACCUUUUGCACCUCUAAAUUUUAGAAUUAACAGUCGAAACUUGAGUGAUAUUGGCACUAUCAUGAGGGUUGUGGAGCUGUCACCACUGAAGGGCUCCGUGUCCUGGACGGGGAAACCAGUCUCCUACUACCUGCACACGAUUGACAGAACCAUACUUGAAAACUAUUUUUCUAGUCUCAAAAAUCCAAAACUCAGGGAGGAACAAGAGGCAGCUAGACGUCGUCAACAAAGAGAAAACAAGAGUAACACAACGACUCCAACGAAGGUCCAAGAAAACAAGGAUUCUGGUGCUGAAGAAGAAAAAGCUGCAGCAAAUUCUGUUAAAAAGCCAUCUCCCUCCAAGGCCCGGAAGAAAAAGCUGAGUAAGAAAGGCAGGAAAAUGGCAGGGAGGAAACGAGGGCGCCCCAAGAAAAUGAACACGGCGAGUACUGAACGCAAGACCAAGAAGAACCAAACUGCACUAGAACUUCUGCAUGCUCAGACUGUCUCCCAGACAUCUUCAUCCUCUCCUCAGGAUGCCUACAAGUCACCUCAUAGCCCAUAUUACCAACUACCUCCUAAAGUGCAACGGCAUUCGUCCAACCAGCUCCUGGUGACACCCACCCCCCCUGCACUACAGAAGCUGCUAGACUCAUUUAAGAUCCAGUACAUGCAGUUCAUGGCAUACAUGAAAACUCCUCAGUACAAAGCAAGUCUGCAACAGUUACUGGAGCAGGAAAAGGAGAAGAAUGCUCAGCUGCUGGGGACAGCCCAGCAGUUAUUCACCCACUGCCAGGCCCAGAAAGAGGAAAUCAAACGGCUCUUUCAGCAGAAGCUCGAUGAGCUGGGAGUUAAAGCUCUGACAUACAAUGACCUGAUCCAAGCUCAGAAGGAAAUCUCUGCUCACAACCAGCAGCUGAAAGAACAGACAAAACAGCUGGAGAAGGACAACAGUGAACUCAGGAAUCAGAGCUUGCAGCUGCUGAAGGCUCGGUGUGAAGAACUGAAGCUGGAUUGGUCAACGCUGUCACUGGAGAACUUGCUGAAAGAGAAGCAGGCCUUGAAGAAUCAGAUUUCUGAGAAGCAAAAGCACUGUUUGGAACUGCAGAUCAGCAUCGUGGAGCUUGAGAAGAGUCAGCGGCAGCAGGAGCUGCUGCAGCUCAAGUCCUACACGCCCUCAGAGGAGCCCCUGUCAGUGCAGCUGCACAGCAAAACCCACCUGAGCCGUGACCCUGAGGCUGAGCACGGCAGGUUCCAGCUGGAGCUGGAGUGCUCCAAGUUCCCCAUGCCCCACAUCAAUGGCAUGAGCCCCGAGCUGUCCAUGAACGGCCACGCCACCCCCUAUGAGCUCCAGCACGCCUUCAGCCGGCCCUCGUCCAAGCAGAACACCCCCCAGUACCCCAACUCCCACCUGGACCAGGACAUCGUGCCCUGCACCCCCAACCACAGCAGCAGGCAGAAGGCAGACAAAGUGACCAGCCUGGCCCUCCCUGAUUACACCAGGUUUUCCCCAGCUAAAAUUGCCCUGCGGAGACACUUGAAUCAGGACCACGGAGUCAAUGGGAAAGCAACAGCUAAUGAGAUACAGAGAGCUGAGCACGUCAAAGAGAAUGGCCUUACAUAUCCAAGCCCUGGAAUUGCAAAUGGCAUAAAGCUGAGUCCUCAGGAAACUCGGCCCUCCUCCCCCGCGGCCUUACCCAGUGCAGGAGAGAAGGUUUUGAGAGAGAGAACCUCUGUGAGUAAUGGAGAAACUAUCACCAGCCUCCCUAUCAGUAUUCCUCUGAGCACAGUGCAGCCCAAUAAACUCCCUGUUAGUAUCCCUCUGGCCAGCGUAGUCCUACCUAGCCGUGUUGAGAAGGUGAGAAGCACACCCAGCCCAGUUCACCAGAGUAGAGACUCAUCGACACUUGAAAAGCAGAUUGGUGCUAGUUCUCAUAAUGGCAUAAGCAAUGCUGCUGGAAACAAGCCUCUGGCUUUGGCUACCUCAGGUUUUUCUUACUCUUCUGGCUCCGUGGCAGUCAAUGGAAAUCUUACAAACAGCCCAGCCCAUCUUAACCAUAGUGUUGAUCAGGCAGCUCUGGACGACUCUGGGAGUCUCUUUAACUCUGUAGGGUCUCGGAGUUCCACUCCACAACAUCCUUUGCUAAUGAUGAGGAACUCUGGGCAGAACUCCCCUGCUCAGCAGCACUCGAGCCCCCGCUUAAGUGGCCCGGCCCAGAGCCUGGCAGGGGGACUGCAGAGUGCAGAGGCUCAGAAGAUCUUUGCCGAAGGAACAAAGGGGGACCUGCAGUCUGAUGCAGCGUUUUCAGAUCCUGAGAACGAGGCCAAGAGGAGAAUCAUCUUUACAAUCUCUCCUAAUACAGGACAUGUAAAACAAUCCCCUUCCAGCAAGCACAGCCCUGUGCCCGCCAGCGCCCGGCCGGACGGCGGCCAGGCCCACGCGCAGGACGGGAAGAAGCGGGGCCGGCGGAAGAGAUCCUCCACUGGGAAUCCCAGCGGGAACGCCGCCGUCUCCCCGAAACGCAAACCCCUGCCCUCGGUGGCCGGGCUCUUUACGCAGCCCUCGGGGUCGCCGCUCAAUAUCAACUCCAUGGUCAAUAACAUUAACCAGCCCUUAGAAAUAACAGCCAUUUCCUCUCCUGAAAACUCCCUGAAGAACUCUCCUGUUCCUUACCAGGACAAUGACCAGCCCCCAGUGCUGAAAAAGGAGAAGCCCCUCGUUCAGACCAACGGUGUCCAUUACUCCCCCCUGACAUCGGAUGACGAGCAGGGCUCUGAGGAUGAGCACAAUAGCAGCAGAAUUGAGAGGAAAAUUGCAACAAUAUCAUUGGAAAGCAAAUCUCCACAGAAGACUGUUGAAAAUGGUGGCAGCUUAUCGGGGAGGAAACAAGCACAAAGCAACGAGAACAUGAACAGCAGCAAAUGGAAAUCGACUUUUUCACCGAUAUCCGACAUCAACCUGACCAAAACCACAGACAGCCCCUUGCAGGCGGUGUCAGCUCUGAGCCAGAACUCCCUGUUUGCCUUCAGGCCUCCCUCCGAGGACGGGCUGGCCAUGGACACCAAGGUCCCGGGACACCCCAGGAAAAGCCUGGCUGUGCCCUCGGACGGGCUGAGCCCUGGCACAAACCCCCCCAACGGCUUCACCUACAACGGGGGCCUGUCCAGCGAGCUGGGCUUGCACGGCUUCAUGGACAGCGCUGCUCUUCCACACAAAGCUCCGGACGGGACGGCUUCCAACUGCUCCCUGGGGUUCCCCUCGCAGCGAGGCAAAGACCUGGGGGUGUCGGACACGAACCUUUUCCUGAACAAGAGGCAGCUGGAAGGUCUGGGCAGCAAGGGAGAAGAGCUGAGCCGGCCAGGGGUGAAGGGCAAAGAGCUCAGCGAGCUGAGCGUCCGAGCGGGGGGGUCUGCGGAGAAAAACUCUGUGCAGCACAACGGGAAGGUCGGCAAGGGAAGGGACCGAGAUGUGGAGUUUAAAAAUGGCCACAACCUUUUCAUUUCUGCUGCUGUUUCGUCUGGUGGCCUUCUGAAUGGUAAAAGCCUUUCUACUGCUGUCUCCUCAGCAGGGACCCCAGCGCCGUCUGUCCCGACGCACCAUCCUUUCCUCAACACUCUGACCACUGGAUCGCAGUUCCCCCUCGGCCCCAUGGCCUUGCAAGCAAACCUCAACUCGGUGACAAAUUCCUCAGUAUUGCAGUCCUUAUUUAAUUCAAUGCCAGCUGCUGCCAGUCUGGUCCACGUGUCAUCAGCUGCAACCAGACUGACUAAUUCUCACACUAUGGGGAACUUCUCUCCUGGGGUUACAGGUGGAACAGUUGGAGGUAGGCAGAACUCUUUCUCUGGUAUAAGACAGGGCCUAAAGGAAAGUCUGACACUGCCUCUCCAGGGGUGAAACCCUUUCAUUUCUACAGGAUGUGAAGCAGAUCUGUCCCACAUAACCAGUCUCCUCUCUCUCUCUCUCUCUCUCGGAAUUGCUAGGAUGAGUUCAGUUCCCCACAGUGAAAUCUCAUGAGCUUUGUCUGCUAGAUGAGCUUGUUGUACCACCUUAAUGAAACAAUACACCCAGACUUUGUGAUUGAUAAUGUUUGCUUGUUCAGAUGUUGCUGUGUUGGAACCAACUUAGGUCUGCCUGCAGGUAACAGAUUUCACUUGUGCUGGUAUCAUGUUAAGGAUCUCUAACUUGUCAACUUGAGUAAAUGUUGAGAUUAGGCCUUGAAUGGAUUUAGCAUGAUCCAGGAGGAGCAGAACAUCAGAGGAGCUGGUGUUGGGAGUUCUGUAGCGUUCUGGCCCUUGAAUGGACAUGAAGAGCAUUUCUUGGCCAGGAAGGGCAAUGCCAUAUGCACCUUGCACUUCUGGGAUUCUGCACAGGCUUGGCUUCUGUGGCCCACACCGGGGACAAGCUGGCAGGACUAGAAGAUAGGCUGAACCUGCCAUUUCUAAGUGUCCAGGGCAGUUUUUCUUACCUGUCCAUAAUCAUUCAGGCACCAUGUCGGGAAAUCCUAACUCUCACAUCUCUCAGCACGUAGAUUUGCUGGAAUUACAACUCCCCUCUGCUGCCCUGUAAGUGGGGGAGCAGGAGGGUGGGGAGGGAAGAGCAGCACUUUGAGUCUUCAGAUAACCAACUCUAAAGACCACUUCUAAUCUCAUCAAAACUCUGCCCGUGUGGUAUAGAACUGACAGUUCUUGGGUCUGACCAUUUUUCCUCGUGGCAUUUAGAGGUUGGCAGUAGGAAAGGUAACUAGGAUUUCUACCUCAACCCAAUGUGACCUAUGCAAGGACAACGUGGACCAACUUCACUCGGCUUCCACUGAAAGGUGCUCACCUGGCCUGUGCAGGGGUUUCUACUCUCUUACUACUGGACAAAAAUAAAAACCAUAAAAAAGACCUAAACAACAGAGCAAAUAUUUACUGUGAAUCUGAGUAAAAAAAAAAAAAAAAAAGAAAAAAAAAAAGGAAAAAAAAAGAAAAAAAAGGCAAAAGAAAUGCUUAAAGCUCCAGUUUGUAUUGUUGAUAGUUUAGAUAAAGUAUUUAUCUUUUUUUUAAAGUGAAAACAAUUUUGACUUAUUUUAUUCCACCUAGACUCAUAAAUACAAGUUAUUAUUAUUAAAUUCUCUGAAUACUAAAGGACUGGCACACCAGCAGAGAUGUAAAAGAGCCUCCUCGGUGCUAUUUUGUCCGUCAGAACUGUGCCUCUGGUUUGAAUCCUUGGUGCUGAUUUUUUGGGGGUUGACCAAUGCCAAACCCAGUUCUCAAAGGUCUGCAGAUUGUUUAUUCCCCUGACUCUGUUCAUAUCCCAAAAUCUGCUUGCUUGGCUGCAGGGGAGCGACAGAGGAAGGAAUUCUCCUCCCUGGGGGUUUGAUUUGGACUGAGCCAGGCGCUUUUUAAUGGGUGGGUUUUAAUUGAGUUUGUGACUAACGAGGGCUCUGUGCUCCCCUCUGGAGCAGCCUGGGCAGGCACAGUUGCAACAGGAGAAAUCCAAGUCCUGCCCCAUCCCAACUACUUCCCUGGGCCAUUUGCAGUUGCUGGUGGCACUCGGGUCACUGUGAAUUUUGGUAGCUGGUUGGUAACCCUUUCUUGGGGCUUAUGAACAGGGUGUGGGGUCAGUGGUGUUGGUGCAGCCCUUUCCCAGCACGGGGAAGACUGAACAUUGUGCUUCUGUCCUGCUGCAGGGCACAGACUUGCUCAGCUCGUUGUUUCUCUGUUCCAAGCACGACGCGUUUCGUUGGUAGGGUUUUGAUUCUUGACUCUAACCUGGCUCGGCCGUGUCCCUGGAUUGCCAAGGUGCUUUUUGCUGUCGUGUUCCUUUGCUUUUGGGUAGGUUCUUGAAUGGUAGUUCACAAAAACACCCCGAGCUGGCUGCCUGUGCUGCCACUGUCCCCCCUGGGGCAGGGACCUGUGUUGUGACUCGGUGUCGUGUGUGCAGGAAGGGCUGAUUUUACAGAGGUCUGAUGAGAACUUGUGAGUUUCCUAUAUUGUAUUUCCUUUAUUUUUAGGUUUUACAAUGCACAAUAAACCUGUAAAAACUUAUUUAUUCAAGUGCACAAAGUGAGGAGGAGAAGGAGGAUCCGUUCAAGUGGGAAUCAGGCUGGUCUGAGUUCAGGCUGGGCCAAGCACUUAUAAAGGAAACUGCAGUAGAAAGGGGAUUGCAGCAGCAAAAUGACUGGAAAAAAGUCACGUUCAGGCUUUGGGAAACACCUCCCUGCUGGCCCUGGUGCUCAGAGGGGCAACACUAUGUCCUUAAAUCCCUUCUAGUGCUCCCUGGUGAGUGUCCGCUGCAGCCAUCAGGCACUGGCAGGAGCUCCAUGGAGCAUCCCGGGGUCACAAACAGCAGCUCAGCUCCUGCCUCUGGCUGUGGGCUCAGUGAGGUCCCUGUGCCCUCCUGUGCUCUCCUGUGCCUGGAUCCAGGAGGGCUGGGAGUGCUUGGAGAGCGGGUGAGGGGCUGCAGCAUCUCCCACCCUCUGCAGGGUUCAGUUCUCAUCCUGGGCAGUCUUAGGAGACAUUUAGGACCAGGUGCAGUUGUUCUGUGAUUCCUGAGCGUGUCUUCCAUAGGAGCCUCUGUGUGCAGACUCCGGGGAUCUGCCUUUGCCUCCUCAUCCACUGGGAAGGGCAGGGCCUGAAAGCCCUGGGAGUUGGGGGCAUUUUGGAUGUUUUCUGCUUUGUGUGUGGGACAGGGUGUGUCCUGCUGAGGGACUGGCAGCACGAGGAAAACCUGGAAAAGGGCAGGAAUGCUCGGAGGGUGAGAGCUGAGGAACAUCCAGUAGCUUCUAGUAGGAGCCAAACACAGUGUAUGUCCUGGAAUCCAGGAGCACAAUGUAACCCAGAUGUUUUGCAGCUGGGAGUUGGGCAGCUCCAGCUUCUUCCCCAGCACACAGCAGAGUGCUGGGGCCUCUGGAGACUGCAAAUGAGUGAUUGCUGGAGGGGCAGCAGCCUUAAUUAAUUUCCUAAUUACCUCUCCCCCAUCAUUUAUAUCUCUGGUGAGAGAGAGAGAGGAGGAAAUAUGAGUAGAAGCUUUUCAUCCCCCGAUUUUAUCAGAUCCUUUCCUGCAGAGGGACCGGGACGUGGUGCCCCUUGGAGCUCUUGUACCUCCCCUUCACCUCCAGCCACAAGAUCCAGGAGGAAAACUUGGCUGCCAUCCCUUGUCCUGGUUUGGUUGGUGCCCAAGGCACUCACAGGAUCCAUGCUGGAGAAGGAACCACCCCACAGAUUCCAUGGAACCCUCUGUGCUUCCCGGCACUGGCCCGUGUCACCCUGCGGACAUGGGGCACUCCCUGGAUGAGGAGGGACAGAUCCUUGUGGGAAUGAUGUGCUCUGCAUCCAGCAGCUCAGGAGUCAGUGUCAGGAGAGCCAGACUGAGCUGUCAGAGAGGUCAGGGGUGGCCUGGGCUCUGUCUCCUCACAGCUGGACUCGCUGAUCUGAAAGAUCUUUUCCAACCUGAACAAUUCUGUGAUUCCAGAACCCUUUGGAGCAAAGGCCCCCGGCGAGGAGUUUGUCACUGCUCUCUGGAGGGUGUUGAGGAAAAGCAAAGCCCGUCUGUCCCUCGCUGUCACCUCUGGUCCCUGCUGUGGUGGCCAGCCAGUGUCCAAGGCAGGGCUGGCUCAGGAGCAGCCCUGGGAAUGGGCAGCACAACCCCUGGACUCAGCACUCGGCUGUGACCGAGCCACUUCCAACCCCCCAGGAUUUCCGAGUCUGUGACUCUCCAGACAUCAUCUGGGAAGGCCCAAGGAAACCAGACCCAGGGAUGAAUCUUUGGGAUUCCUGGGAAGGGAUCCAGUCUGCCUGAGCAUCAGCCUUCCCCUACCUGUGCCCCAGUGCCUGCUGGCAUCCCAGUGCCUGCCGUUCCCACCCUGUUCCACACUGGUGGAAUCUGGAGCUGCUCUGGCUGUGCCGGUGUCUUCCCCCCACCCCAGGCCCUGCACUGGAGCUGCUCCUGGCAGCGAUUCCCAAAUGGUGCUUCCAGAGGGUGCCUGCUCAGCACUGAGGUGGGAAGCCAAGGGGGCACUUUAGGACUGGAGCCUCGGCCCUGCCUGAGCUGGGAGAUGUUUUUGCCAAGAGAUUCCUGGUUUUGUCUUCCCUCUCCCUGACCUUUUAUUGCUUUGCUGUCAUCUGGGGCAAGCUCAACUUGAAAUCGUGGAGUCACAGAACAUCCUGAGUUGGAAGGGACCUGGAGGCUCAUCGAGUCCAGCUCCUGGCCAGUAUGUUACUCCUCAGUCUGCACAUUGGGAAGAGCUUUCACCUGGCUGCAGGCAGACCUUGGAGCUGGUGGAAUCUGAUCUGUGUGGCCCCAGCCGUGACCUCUGGAACACUGAGCCAGAAGCUGAAACCUGUUUGCAAUAAUUGAACAUUCUCUGGAGCAAUCAAAGCCAAACAGUUCCAGAAAAAGAGAAUUUCUCCUGCCUUACCACAUCCUGCCGGUGCCGGGUCCCGCCGUUCCGGGGCUGUCACAGCUCCCCCUCCUCCAUGCCCCUGCUGCCAGCGAGGGACUCGCCAGGAAGCCAAAGCACAUCUUGGAGCACAUCUGUGCCAAAAAAAUGGAACUUCCUGAGUGCUGUGCUGAGGAAAACCUGUCCCUGCUGCUCAAUGUCAGCCUUGAGGAACAAGACUUGCGUGGGCUCUUCCUUUUUUGGGGAUUUGCCACCUCUGGCUCGCCAGGCCCAGUCCCCUGGGACCCACGGUGCUGGGAGGGCUCCAAAGACACCGGACCUAAAUUUGGGAUUUGCUGCAGAUGAGUCAUUCAGCAGCAAUUCUUCUUCCAUCAGUCAGGGGUGUGGGGACACCCAGCAGCUGGAUUGCUGAGAGAGAGAGCAGGAAAACAUUGCUGAGGAUGUAGAGGCUGGAUCCGAGCUGGUGCGAGGGAUAAGGGGCAUGAGGAGGUGUCCCUCCAUCACCUCUUGGUUUGGCACAAACGAGGCCCUUCCCUGUAGGAAGGUGUGGGUCAGUCUGGACAGCCAGGGAACAUCUUCACCUCAGCUCAGUUGUGGAUGCAGUGGGAGAGAGGAGAAGGAGGAAGGAGAAGCAGCUUUUUAGGGAAGCAGCAGGGAGUGCAGCACAUCCUCUCUGUCCCUGACAUUCCGGGACUGAGCGUCAUCUCCAGCUCCUUCUUUCAGCAGGAAUUUGUGUCUCCUCCACCAGACAGAUCAGAAAUUCUUGUGCCUCUAUCUCUUUUCCUUCCUUCCAGCACUUUAUCUUCCAGUGCACCCCUUGUGCUCCCCCUGCUCUUGGCUGGGGUUGUGCUCCGGGCUCAGCCUGGCAGGGGAGGUGGGAUUCCCCUGUGCCAGGACUCGCUGCUGGGAUCAAGCCGAGCUUGGAGGGUCUGAGUCUGGGUUCACACCCACAGCCCCUGAAGUCCCCCAGGCAGGAAGGUGACAUCACUUGGUCGUGAAUGGAUUUACUCAUCUCUUUUUGAAUCCAGAGAUUCCAAAUCCCCAGGGCUUGACACUCCUUGGUGUGAAACUCGCCCAGCUCUGGGUCAUGCUCAGUUCAAGCGCUGAGUCACUUUCUUCUUUCUUAAGUCAAACUUGAUCCUUGAGGACGUCACUUGAGCAAUUUCAGCCUGGAGUGGAGAGGUUUCCAGCCUGAUCAGCUCUUCCAUCCCACCUGGAAACAUCUCCAGUUGGAGCAUUGCUCCAGAGCUGCUCGGGGCUGUCUCUGCCCUCACCCCGCUGGGGACAGGUUUCCUUCUGAGAUGUGUUGGGGUCACUUCUUUAAGCUCCUUCUUCAGGGUUGGACUAAAUGACCUGUAAAGGUGCUUUCCAAUCUUUCCAAACUGUUCUGGUUCUCUGUGCAGACACAUCUGGGAGGAGCUGGGUGAGAGCCAGACCUGCCUCACCUGCUGCUCCUGCACCUCCACCCCAGUGCUGUGGGGUGCAACAUUUGGCAGCUCAGGCACUCCCCACCACAGUGGAUUUACUGCCCGUGGUCAUUGGUUCCAUCUCAUCCCAACCUUCCCCUGGAAAACUGUGGAUCUUCCUGUUCUGCUGGGCUGCCCCUUCCAGGGGAAGGUCUUUUCUUGUGGCCAUGGACAGGCAGCCUGGGGCUUGGUUCUUGCUGGGACUGUGUGUUCAGAAAGCAACAUCUGCUCCUCUGGUAUUUUUCCACUCGGAGGAGAGUCCAGGCAGAGGAGAGCCCGAGGGAGUGGUGGCAGGAGAGUCCCAGGGUGCAGAGCUGCUGGGGACACCCAGGCCUGGCUCGGGGGGACCCCAGCGCUUUCAGCUCCUCUGAGUCCCUUCAGGGCCCCGGGAUGCUCCCGCUUCCCUCCCUGCUCCUGCUGAUUGCUGGGAGAGGAGACUCCCAGCACUGGGAGCUGUUCUCAGGCUGCUGAAGGUGAUUCCCCUCCUGCUCAGCCUUCCCAGCCCCUUCCUUCCCUCCUCAGCCGGGUCUGGAGCACCCCCGAGCCCUGGGGACACCUGCACUGCCCGGCCCGGGGUCGCUGUCCCCACGGAGCAGCCGUUCCCGAGGGUUCCCUGCUGUGUCCUGGUGCUGAUGCCGAGGUGGCUUCGCUUGCUCACCCCCCCUGUGACCCAUUUGCUUUCGGUGCUGGAAUUCGCCCUCUGACCCAGAGGAUUCUCUGUGGGUUUUGUCCUGGAUAACUCCACCCUGGAGUUCUCCCAACUCCCAGGGGUGGCUGCUGUGGAAAAUUCUGCUUUUCUGGUUGUUUUGCCUGAGCCAAAAGCACAGAGAGGAUGAAGGGUUGGGAGCAGGGGAGGGCCUUGGGCAGGGCUGUGAACCCAAAAUCCUUCUGGGGAGCAGAAACUACACAGUGUUUUUGUGAACUAUCUUUGCAGCACUGAGGAAAAAUCACAGGAAUUGGAGUUUUGGGAGCACAGAUGUGCAGUCAGUGUAUGAAUAUUUGAAGUUUUACUGGUUUUAAAGGGUUUUUUCUUCCUUUUUUUUUUGCUCCGUUUCCAUUUUCCGCUCCAUUUGCGGAUCAGGUUUUCACUAAAAGCUGGAGUUCCAGUUUCAAAAUGUUGUUGUGCCAUAUUUUAUUUAUCCUUAUACAUUAUAAAUAUAUAAAUAUCUAUUUAGACUAAAUAUUGCAUUGAAAGAUGCUGUUAUUGAGAACUUCAGGGUUUAAACCCAAGACAAAAAAAAUGGGAAAUAAUUCUCCAGUACUUUUGCUGUUUGGGACCUUCUCCCUGAAGGGCUCCUUGAGUUCUUUGUGGUGUAAAAACAAAAUCACAUCCAAAAAUUCAAUGUUUGACGAUGCUAACCCUGAAGUUCUCAGGUUUGUGAUCCUUUGGUUUUCUCGAGGUACAUCUGGUUGCUUUUCUGGUGGAGUCAAAUGAUUUUUUUAAAGGUUUCAUCUCUGGAGUUAUUGAGGAAAAGGUGGAAUGGGUUGAUCCAUCCUGCUUGGCUUUUUUAACCUAUUAAUGUUUGAAGUGAUCGAUUUCCAAUUAAAACCCAACUUUUUAGGUCUCUGUUCUACUUAAACUUUUUAGGAGUGAGAGCCUGCCCUCGCUGAGUGGGACUUGGAUGGGGAAAGCAGUAGAUGAUGAGGUUGCUGUUGCUCAGGAAUUGAUUAGUAAACUUUUAACUACUAAUAAAAAUCCAUUCUUCAAUGGAUUUUUUUGAAAAACCCAUUUUCUUAGGACAGUGAUAUGGGAUGUUUCCUAGUAAAUAGGAAUUAGUUUAUAUAAUUUAGCCUAUUAAACUGAAUUAUUUAAAAUUCAAACUUCCCCUAAUUUAUCUCCUUUUUUUUUUGGUUUUCUUUUUUGUUUUGGUUGUUUUCUUUUUUUUUAUACUGGUAAGUUGUCCUGUCAUUCCUUUCAUUCCUGCAUAGCAGUAGUGUGAAUUCUGGUGUGUAUAUAUGUAUGUAUAAUAUAUAUAUUUCCACCCUGCCUUUCUAAUUCUCCACAAUGUAAGAGUUAGUUUUUGCUCCCCUCCCUCCACUUAAUUUCUCGUGUCUCCCUUGAUUUGUAAUUGAAACGAUGCUUUGAAGUUUUGUCUUUAUAUUAAAGUGUCUGUAUUUUAAUACACUGA